This is a long non-coding RNA of Carassius gibelio (silver crucian carp), 487 nucleotides long. RefSeq lists it as uncharacterized. The record is from RefSeq and is a predicted model, not a curated record. The transcript is spliced from 3 exons. NCBI's taxonomy places the organism in Eukaryota, Metazoa, Chordata, Actinopteri, Cypriniformes, Cyprinidae.
GGGGAGAUGAACGGAUGGUUCAAUGCUUUAUUUGGCAUCUUAAAUAAUCAUCUACACACUCUGUACCCUGAUCUCAAGAAAACUGAGUGGGGUCUACCAAAAUAUGAUACACAUGAGCUGCCAUCAUCUGUGACCCAUGACCCCAUCUAUGUUUCUCAGAUAAAACUGAAGAGUAAGGAGACUGAAAUAACUCACGAAGAUGACGACACAGAUGAAUAAAAACUCAGGCUUCAUCCUCGAUUCCAGCUUGAGCACUAACUGUCACAACAGACCAACCGCCUUGAAACAAGACUUAAUUUAAUGUAUAUUUGUUUUGUUGGUUUAUUUUUUUACAGUUGAAUAAUAUGCUGAAUUAAUUUCCAAAUAACCGUAAAGUUGAACAGGAUUCUUUAUAUGCUAAUCAUACAUUUUGUUUCACUUGGCUUGCACUAAAGCAAAGAAAAAUAAUUCAAGUUUUCACAAUAAGACCGCACUGGACACCUCUUGA